This 491-nucleotide ribosomal RNA is filed under the name uncultured bacterium. RNAcentral's name for it is "partial 16S ribosomal RNA". It matches the Rfam family "Bacterial small subunit ribosomal RNA", at positions 29 to 507 of the family's 1533-position model. The record is from RNAcentral.
UUGAACGCUGGCGGCAUGCUUUACACAUGCAAGUCGAACGGUAACAGGCCUUCGGGUGCUGACGAGUGGCGAACGGGUGAGUAAUGCAUCGGAACGUACCCAGAGGUGGGGGAUAACGCAGCGAAAGCUGUGCUAAUACCGCAUGUGAUCUGAGGAUGAAAGCGGGGGACCGAGCAGCAAUGUUUGGCCUCGCGCCUUUGGAGCGGCCGAUGUCGGAUUAGCUAGUUGGUGGGGUAAAGGCCUACCAAGGCGACGAUCCGUAGCUGGUCUGAGAGGACGACCAGCCACACUGGGACUGAGACACGGCCCAGACUCCUACGGGAGGCAGCAGCGGGGAAUUUUGGACAAUGGGCGCAAGCCUGAUCCAGCAAUGCCGCGUGCGGGAAGAAGGCCUUCGGGUUGUAAACCGCUUUUGGCAGGAACGAAACGGUGUCCGCUAAUACCGGGCGCUAAUGACGGUACCUGCAGAAUAAGCACCGGCUAACUACGUG